RNAcentral lists this ribosomal RNA (466 nucleotides) under uncultured bacterium. RNAcentral describes it as "bacterial SSU rRNA". It matches the Rfam family "Bacterial small subunit ribosomal RNA", at positions 24 to 507 of the family's 1533-position model. The record is from RNAcentral.
UCAGGACGAACGCUGGCGGCGUGCUUAACACAUGCAAGUCGAACGGUAAGGCCCUUCGGGGUACACGAGUGGCGAACGGGUGAGUAACACGUGGGUGAUCUGCCCUGCACUUUGGGAUAAGCCUGGGAAACUGGGUCUAAUACCGAAUAGGACUCCGGACUUCACGGUCUGGGGUGGAAAGCUUUUGCGGUGUGGGAUGGGCCCGCGGCCUAUCAGCUUGUUGGUGGGGUAAUGGCCUACCAAGGCGACGACGGGUAGCCGGCCUGAGAGGGUGUCCGGCCACACUGGGACUGAGAUACGGCCCAGACUCCUACGGGAGGCAGCAGUGGGGAAUAUUGCACAAUGGGCGCAAGCCUGAUGCAGCGACGCCGCGUGGGGGAUGACGGCCUUCGGGUUGUAAACCUCUUUCAGUAGGGACGAAGCGCAAGUGACGGUACCUACAGAAGAAGCACCGGCCAACUACGUG